Molecule: ribosomal RNA, 449 nt
Filed under: Salmonella enterica
Lineage: Bacteria; Pseudomonadati; Pseudomonadota; Gammaproteobacteria; Enterobacterales; Enterobacteriaceae
Description: partial 23S ribosomal RNA
Rfam family: Bacterial large subunit ribosomal RNA
Source: RNAcentral
ACCCUUUAAUGUUUGAUGUUCUAACGUGGACCCGUGAUCCGGGUUGCGGACAGUGUCUGGUGGGUAGUUUGACUGGGGCGGUCUCCUCCUAAAGAGUAACGGAGGAGCACGAAGGUUGGCUAAUCCUGGUCGGACAUCAGGAGGUUAGUGCAAUGGCAUAAGCCAGCUUGACUGCGAGCGUGACGGCGCGAGCAGGUGCGAAAGCAGGUCAUAGUGAUCCGGUGGUUCUGAAUGGAAGGGCCAUCGCUCAACGGAUAAAAGGUACUCCGGGGAUAACAGGCUGAUACCGCCCAAGAGUUCAUAUCGACGGCGGUGUUUGGCACCUCGAUGUCGGCUCAUCACAUCCUGGGGCUGAAGUAGGUCCCAAGGGUAUGGCUGUUCGCCAUUUAAAGUGGUACGCGAGCUGGGUUUAGAACGUCGUGAGACAGUUCGGUCCCUAUCUGCCGUGG